RNAcentral lists this long non-coding RNA (701 nucleotides) under Homo sapiens (human). RNAcentral describes it as "non-protein coding lnc-MAT2B-3:29". Lineage: Eukaryota; Metazoa; Chordata; Mammalia; Primates; Hominidae. The record is from RNAcentral.
CUCUGUGCAAAGGCAGAGGCUGUGGGAGCAGCAUCAAGCAAGACUUCGGGCAGUGAUUCUAACUAUUGCCUAUGAACACCGUGGCUGGGACGACUUUGACGAGGCAAUUUAUUACUUACGCAUAGAACACUGGCUGUGCUGAAACUGGGAGCGCAAACAGCCCCUUGUUUUCUAAUUUAGAGACUUGCAUCUUUUCGACACUCAACAGUAUCAAGACACUCUGCUACUACAGAUUGAUUUCCACCAUCAACACCUUUACCUCUUCCCGCCUGAAAAUAAAAUAUGAAAUAUAACAAGUAAAUCGCAAUCUACCUUGAAUCUUCUGGAGAGGAAAGAAGAAACCAUGUCUAGACAAGGUGCUGGAAAGACCCAGGGAAGACACAGGCUUUGGUAUCAGGAUGAUGCUGGCCUCACAAAAUGAGUUAGGGAGGAUUCCCUCUUUUUCUAUUGAUUGGAAUAGUUUCAGAAGGAAUGGUACCAGCUCCUCCUUGUACCUCUGGUAGAAUUCGGCUGUGAAUCCAUCUGGUCCUGGACUUUUUUUGGUUGGUAAGCUAUUAAUUAUUGCCUCAAUUUCGGAGCCUGUUAUUGGUCUAUUCAGAGAUUCAACUUCUUCCUGGUUUGGCCUUGGGAGGGUGUAUGUGUCGAGGAAUUUAUCCAUUUCUUCUAGAUUUUCUAGUUUAUUUGCGUAGAGGUGUUUAUAG